Molecule: ribosomal RNA, 2767 nt
Filed under: Shigella flexneri
Lineage: Bacteria; Pseudomonadati; Pseudomonadota; Gammaproteobacteria; Enterobacterales; Enterobacteriaceae
Description: partial 23S ribosomal RNA
Rfam family: Bacterial large subunit ribosomal RNA
Source: RNAcentral
GUUAAGCGACUAAGCGUACACGGUGGAUGCCCUGGCAGUCAGAGGCGAUGAAGGACGUGCUAAUCUGCGAUAAGCGUCGGUAAGGUGAUAUGAACCGUUAUAACCGGCGAUUUCCGAAUGGGGAAACCCAGUGUGAUUCGUCACACUAUCAUUAACUGAAUCCAUAGGUUAAUGAGGCGAACCGGGGGAACUGAAACAUCUAAGUACCCCGAGGAAAAGAAAUCAACCGAGAUUCCCCCAGUAGCGGCGAGCGAACGGGGAGCAGCCCAGAGCCUGAAUCAGUGUGUGUGUUAGUGGAAGCGUCUGGAAAGGCGUGCGAUACAGGGUGACAGCCCCGUACACAAAAAUGCACAUACUGUGAGCUCGAUGAGUAGGGCGGGACACGUGGUAUCCUGUCUGAAUAUGGGGGGACCAUCCUCCAAGGCUAAAUACUCCUGACUGACCGAUAGUGAACCAGUACCGUGAGGGAAAGGCGAAAAGAACCCCGGCGAGGGGAGUGAAAAAGAACCUGAAACCGUGUACGUACAAGCAGUGGGAGCACGCUUAGGCGUGUGACUGCGUACCUUUUGUAUAAUGGGUCAGCGACUUAUAUUCUGUAGCAAGGUUAACCGAAUAGGGGAGCCGAAGGGAAACCGAGUCUUAACUGGGCGUUAAGUUGCAGGGUAUAGACCCGAAACCCGGUGAUCUAGCCAUGGGCAGGUUGAAGGUUGGGUAACACUAACUGGAGGACCGAACCGACUAAUGUUGAAAAAUUAGCGGAUGACUUGUGGCUGGGGGUGAAAGGCCAAUCAAACCGGGAGAUAGCUGGUUCUCCCCGAAAGCUAUUUAGGUAGCGCCUCGUGAAUUCAUCUCCGGGGGUAGAGCACUGUUUCGGCAAGGGGGUCAUCCCGACUUACCAACCCGAUGCAAACUGCGAAUACCGGAGAAUGUUAUCACGGGAGACACACGGCGGGUGCUAACGUCCGUCGUGAAGAGGGAAACAACCCAGACCGCCAGCUAAGGUCCCAAAGUCAUGGUUAAGUGGGAAACGAUGUGGGAAGGCCCAGACAGCCAGGAUGUUGGCUUAGAAGCAGCCAUCAUUUAAAGAAAGCGUAAUAGCUCACUGGUCGAGUCGGCCUGCGCGGAAGAUGUAACGGGGCUAAACCAUGCACCGAAGCUGCGGCAGCGACGCUUAUGCGUUGUUGGGUAGGGGAGCGUUCUGUAAGCCUGUGAAGGUGUGCUGUGAGGUAUGCUGGAGGUAUCAGAAGUGCGAAUGCUGACAUAAGUAACGAUAAAGCGGGUGAAAAGCCCGCUCGCCGGAAGACCAAGGGUUCCUGUCCAACGUUAAUCGGGGCAGGGUGAGUCGACCCCUAAGGCGAGGCCGAAAGGCGUAGUCGAUGGGAAACAGGUUAAUAUUCCUGUACUUGGUGUUACUGCGAAGGGGGGACGGAGAAGGCUAUGUUGGCCGGGCGACGGUUGUCCCGGUUUAAGCGUGUAGGCUGGUUUUCCAGGCAAAUCCGGAAAAUCAAGGCCGAGGCGUGAUGACGAGGCACUACGGUGCUGAAGCAACAAAUGCCCUGCUUCCAGGAAAAGCCUCUAAGCAUCAGGUAACAUCAAAUCGUACCCCAAACCGACACAGGUGGUCAGGUAGAGAAUACCAAGGCGCUUGAGAGAACUCGGGUGAAGGAACUAGGCAAAAUGGUGCCGUAACUUCGGGAGAAGGCACGCUGAUACGUAGGUGAAGCGACUUGCUCGUGGAGCUGAAAUCAGUCGAAGAUACCAGCUGGCUGCAACUGUUUAUUAAAAACACAGCACUGUGCAAACACGAAAGUGGACGUAUACGGUGUGACGCCUGCCCGGUGCCGGAAGGUUAAUUGAUGGGGUUAGCGCAAGCGAAGCUCUUGAUCGAAGCCCCGGUAAACGGCGGCCGUAACUAUAACGGUCCUAAGGUAGCGAAAUUCCUUGUCGGGUAAGUUCCGACCUGCACGAAUGGCGUAAUGAUGGCCAGGCUGUCUCCACCCGAGACUCAGUGAAAUUGAACUCGCUGUGAAGAUGCAGUGUACCCGCGGCAAGACGGAAAGACCCCGUGAACCUUUACUAUAGCUUGACACUGAACAUUGAGCCUUGAUGUGUAGGAUAGGUGGGAGGCUUUGAAGUGUGGACGCCAGUCUGCAUGGAGCCGACCUUGAAAUACCACCCUUUAAUGUUUGAUGUUCUAACGUGGACCCGUGAUCCGGGUUGCGGACAGUGUCUGGUGGGUAGUUUGACUGGGGCGGUCUCCUCCUAAAGAGUAACGGAGGAGCACGAAGGUUGGCUAAUCCUGGUCGGACAUCAGGAGGUUAGUGCAAUGGCAUAAGCCAGCUUGACUGCGAGCGUGACGGCGCGAGCAGGUGCGAAAGCAGGUCAUAGUGAUCCGGUGGUUCUGAAUGGAAGGGCCAUCGCUCAACGGAUAAAAGGUACUCCGGGGAUAACAGGCUGAUACCGCCCAAGAGUUCAUAUCGACGGCGGUGUUUGGCACCUCGAUGUCGGCUCAUCACAUCCUGGGGCUGAAGUAGGUCCCAAGGGUAUGGCUGUUCGCCAUUUAAAGUGGUACGCGAGCUGGGUUUAGAACGUCGUGAGACAGUUCGGUCCCUAUCUGCCGUGGGCGCUGGAGAACUGAGGGGGGCUGCUCCUAGUACGAGAGGACCGGAGUGGACGCAUCACUGGUGUUCGGGUUGUCAUGCCAAUGGCACUGCCCGGUAGCUAAAUGCGGAAGAGAUAAGUGCUGAAAGCAUCUAAGCACGAAACU